This 196-nucleotide non-coding RNA is filed under the name unclassified sequences. RNAcentral's name for it is "manA RNA". It matches the Rfam family "manA RNA". From Rfam's summary of the family: manA RNA has been located in 5'UTR regions of genes of mannose or fructose metabolism. Has been proposed as a cis-regulatory element and as a riboswitch candidate for his complex secondary structure. The record is from RNAcentral.
GGGAGUAACGACGGUUACAUCGGGAGUGACUGAAUAAACUUACUGGCAUAUAGCUGGUUAAGGUGAUGAGACACAGGUGAUGCUGCUGCUCGUAAGAGUAGAAUCGACCAAUCAAUCGGGUCUCAGGCAGAGAAGUUUUCUAAUCUGUAGAAAUGCCCUUCUCUUGUUGGUAUACAGGAAUCCAACCUCCCCCUUU